RNAcentral lists this ribosomal RNA (2630 nucleotides) under Escherichia coli. RNAcentral describes it as "partial 23S ribosomal RNA". It matches the Rfam family "Bacterial large subunit ribosomal RNA", at positions 296 to 2915 of the family's 2925-position model. The record is from RNAcentral. Lineage: Bacteria; Pseudomonadati; Pseudomonadota; Gammaproteobacteria; Enterobacterales; Enterobacteriaceae.
AGCCCAGAGCCUGAAUCAGUGUGUGUGUUAGUGGAAGCGUCUGGAAAGGCGCGCGAUACAGGGUGACAGCCCCGUACACAAAAAUGCACAUGCUGUGAGCUCGAUGAGUAGGGCGGGACACGUGGUAUCCUGUCUGAAUAUGGGGGGACCAUCCUCCAAGGCUAAAUACUCCUGACUGACCGAUAGUGAACCAGUACCGUGAGGGAAAGGCGAAAAGAACCCCGGCGAGGGGAGUGAAAAAGAACCUGAAACCGUGUACGUACAAGCAGUGGGAGCCUCUUUUAUGGGGUGACUGCGUACCUUUUGUAUAAUGGGUCAGCGACUUAUAUUCUGUAGCAAGGUUAACCGAAUAGGGGAGCCGAAGGGAAACCGAGUCUUAACUGGGCGUUAAGUUGCAGGGUAUAGACCCGAAACCCGGUGAUCUAGCCAUGGGCAGGUUGAAGGUUGGGUAACACUAACUGGAGGACCGAACCGACUAAUGUUGAAAAAUUAGCGGAUGACUUGUGGCUGGGGGUGAAAGGCCAAUCAAACCGGGAGAUAGCUGGUUCUCCCCGAAAGCUAUUUAGGUAGCGCCUCGUGAAUUCAUCUCCGGGGGUAGAGCACUGUUUCGGCAAGGGGGUCAUCCCGACUUACCAACCCGAUGCAAACUGCGAAUACCGGAGAAUGUUAUCACGGGAGACACACGGCGGGUGCUAACGUCCGUCGUGAAGAGGGAAACAACCCAGACCGCCAGCUAAGGUCCCAAAGUCAUGGUUAAGUGGGAAACGAUGUGGGAAGGCCCAGACAGCCAGGAUGUUGGCUUAGAAGCAGCCAUCAUUUAAAGAAAGCGUAAUAGCUCACUGGUCGAGUCGGCCUGCGCGGAAGAUGUAACGGGGCUAAACCAUGCACCGAAGCUGCGGCAGCGACGCUUAUGCGUUGUUGGGUAGGGGAGCGUUCUGUAAGCCUGUGAAGGUGUGCUGUGAGGCAUGCUGGAGGUAUCAGAAGUGCGAAUGCUGACAUAAGUAACGAUAAAGCGGGUGAAAAGCCCGCUCGCCGGAAGACCAAGGGUUCCUGUCCAACGUUAAUCGGGGCAGGGUGAGUCGACCCCUAAGGCGAGGCCGAAAGGCGUAGUCGAUGGGAAACAGGUUAAUAUUCCUGUACUUGGUGUUACUGCGAAGGGGGGACGGAGAAGGCUAUGUUGGCCGGGCGACGGUUGUCCCGGUUUAAGCGUGUAGGCUGGUUUUCCAGGCAAAUCCGGAAAAUCAAGGCUGAGGCGUGAUGACGAGGCACUACGGUGCUGAAGCAACAAAUGCCCUGCUUCCAGGAAAAGCCUCUAAGCAUCAGGUAACAUCAAAUCGUACCCCAAACCGACACAGGUGGUCAGGUAGAGAAUACCAAGGCGCUUGAGAGAACUCGGGUGAAGGAACUAGGCAAAAUGGUGCCGUAACUUCGGGAGAAGGCACGCUGAUAUGUAGGUGAAGCGACUUGCUCGUGGAGCUGAAAUCAGUCGAAGAUACCAGCUGGCUGCAACUGUUUAUUAAAAACACAGCACUGUGCAAACACGAAAGUGGACGUAUACGGUGUGACGCCUGCCCGGUGCCGGAAGGUUAAUUGAUGGGGUCAGCGCAAGCGAAGCUCUUGAUCGAAGCCCCGGUAAACGGCGGCCGUAACUAUAACGGUCCUAAGGUAGCGAAAUUCCUUGUCGGGUAAGUUCCGACCUGCACGAAUGGCGUAAUGAUGGCCAGGCUGUCUCCACCCGAGACUCAGUGAAAUUGAACUCGCUGUGAAGAUGCAGUGUACCCGCGGCAAGACGGAAAGACCCCGUGAACCUUUACUAUAGCUUGACACUGAACAUUGAGCCUUGAUGUGUAGGAUAGGUGGGAGGCUUUGAAGUGUGGACGCCAGUCUGCAUGGAGCCGACCUUGAAAUACCACCCUUUAAUGUUUGAUGUUCUAACGUUGACCCGUAAUCCGGGUUGCGGACAGUGUCUGGUGGGUAGUUUGACUGGGGCGGUCUCCUCCUAAAGAGUAACGGAGGAGCACGAAGGUUGGCUAAUCCUGGUCGGACAUCAGGAGGUUAGUGCAAUGGCAUAAGCCAGCUUGACUGCGAGCGUGACGGCGCGAGCAGGUGCGAAAGCAGGUCAUAGUGAUCCGGUGGUUCUGAAUGGAAGGGCCAUCGCUCAACGGAUAAAAGGUACUCCGGGGAUAACAGGCUGAUACCGCCCAAGAGUUCAUAUCGACGGCGGUGUUUGGCACCUCGAUGUCGGCUCAUCACAUCCUGGGGCUGAAGUAGGUCCCAAGGGUAUGGCUGUUCGCCAUUUAAAGUGGUACGCGAGCUGGGUUUAGAACGUCGUGAGACAGUUCGGUCCCUAUCUGCCGUGGGCGCUGGAGAACUGAGGGGGGCUGCUCCUAGUACGAGAGGACCGGAGUGGACGCAUCACUGGUGUUCGGGUUGUCAUGCCAAUGGCACUGCCCGGUAGCUAAAUGCGGAAGAGAUAAGUGCUGAAAGCAUCUAAGCACGAAACUUGCCCCGAGAUGAGUUCUCCCUGACUCCUUGAGAGUCCUGAAGGAACGUUGAAGACGACGACGUUGAUAGGCCGGGUGUGUAAGCGCAGCGAUGCGUUGAGCUAACCGGUACUAAUGAACCGUGAG